Molecule: ribosomal RNA, 825 nt
Filed under: Neogloboquadrina dutertrei
Lineage: Eukaryota; Foraminifera; Rotaliida; Globorotaliidae
Description: SSU rRNA
Rfam family: Eukaryotic small subunit ribosomal RNA
Source: RNAcentral
UAAUUGCGUUUCACUAAGGGCCCAUAAAUUCAAGGUAUGUUAGCUAUCGUUUCUCAAUUGACCCCUUGUCUUCGAUAAGCGCGUGUCUUUUAGAGUUUAAACAUUGCGCAUGCUGUUGGGUCCUGAAAGCAACGAACGUGACCGCAACGUCUUAUUGCCUUUAUCUUGUUAUAUUCUAAUUUAAUUAGGAAUAACUAACAGAGGCUAAUUUAAAAUUAGACGGACCGCUGUACUUUUCUUAAACCAGAGGAAGGUUGCGGCAAUAACAGGUCUGUGAUGCCCUUAGAUGUUCCGGGCUGCACACGUGCUACAAUGAUCAGUACAGUGAGCAUCUCAAUAUUAUACACCGUAUUAAGCGCUUAGUUGCGAUUAUUGGCUCAUUAUUGGGUCUUUUAAUUGUAUUUCUAAUGCGCGCGGUAAAGCCUGCUUCGAGAGUAAGUGGGUAAUCCAUUGGAAGUAAUGAUUUCUCUUUUUAUAGCACACCUAUAUACGGCAUUCAUUCCCGGGACGACUAGUUUCGUCUUUUUUGUGCGAAUGUAAUGUAUUCUUUAUCCGUAUGUGCGAUUGUCAAUUCAUGGUGGGGACAGACCAUUGUUAAUUGUUGGUCUCGGUCUUAACUAGGAAUGCCUUGUACGGGUCUUUGGUUCAACAAACCACCCGGAAUACGUCCCUGCCCUUUGUACACACCGCCCGUCGCUCUUACCGAUGAACUUCUUUGUGAGUCUAAGGGACUGGGUUAAUCUGUAAUUCUAUUAUAGAUAUACCUAUGGAAACUUAUACGAACAAUGUGGUUUAAAGGAAAGAGAAGUCGUAACAAGGCAUCCG